This 580-nucleotide ribosomal RNA is filed under the name Serratia sp. VK32. Its description in RNAcentral is "bacterial SSU rRNA". It matches the Rfam family "Bacterial small subunit ribosomal RNA", at positions 61 to 630 of the family's 1533-position model. The record is from RNAcentral. Lineage: Bacteria; Pseudomonadati; Pseudomonadota; Gammaproteobacteria; Enterobacterales; Yersiniaceae.
GUCGAGCGGUAGCACAGGAGAGCUUGCUCUCUGGGUGACGAGCGGCGGACGGGUGAGUAAUGUCUGGGAAACUGCCUGAUGGAGGGGGAUAACUACUGGAAACGGUAGCUAAUACCGCAUAACGUCUUCGGACCAAAGUGGGGGACCUUCGGGCCUCACGCCAUCAGAUGUGCCCAGAUGGGAUUAGCUAGUAGGUGGGGUAAUGGCUCACCUAGGCGACGAUCCCUAGCUGGUCUGAGAGGAUGACCAGCCACACUGGAACUGAGACACGGUCCAGACUCCUACGGGAGGCAGCAGUGGGGAAUAUUGCACAAUGGGCGCAAGCCUGAUGCAGCCAUGCCGCGUGUGUGAAGAAGGCCUUCGGGUUGUAAAGCACUUUCAGCGAGGAGGAAGGGUACUGUGUUAAUAGCACAUUUCAUUGACGUUACUCGCAGAAGAAGCACCGGCUAACUCCGUGCCAGCAGCCGCGGUAAUACGGAGGGUGCAAGCGUUAAUCGGAAUUACUGGGCGUAAAGCGCACGCAGGCGGUUUGUUAAGUCAGAUGUGAAAUCCCCGCGCUUAACGUGGGAACUGCAUUUGA